RNAcentral lists this ribosomal RNA (460 nucleotides) under uncultured bacterium. RNAcentral's name for it is "bacterial SSU rRNA". It matches the Rfam family "Bacterial small subunit ribosomal RNA", at positions 28 to 507 of the family's 1533-position model. The record is from RNAcentral.
GAUGAACGCUGGCGGCGUGCCUAACACAUUCAAGUCGAACGGUGAAGGGACUUCGGUCCCGGAUCAGUGGCGGACGGGUGAGUAACACGUGGGUAACCUGCCUUACAGAGGGGGAUAACAGUUUGAAAAGACUGCUAAUACCGCAUAAGCACACAGUACCGCAUGGUACGGGGUGAAAAGAUUUAUCGCUGUAAGAUGGACCCGCGUCUGAUUAGCUAGUUGGCAGGGUAACGGCCUACCAAGGCGACGAUCAGUAGCCGACCUGAGAGGGUGAUCGGCCACAUUGGGACUGAGACACGGCCCAAACUCCUACGGGAGGCAGCAGUGGGGGAUAUUGCACAAUGGAGGAAACUCUGAUGCAGCGACGCCGCGUGAGUGAAGAAGUAUUUCGGUAUGUAAAGCUCUAUCAGCAGGGAAGAUAAUGACAGUACCUGACUAAGAAGCCCCGGCUAACUACGUG